Molecule: long non-coding RNA, 2264 nt
Filed under: Sus scrofa (pig)
Lineage: Eukaryota; Metazoa; Chordata; Mammalia; Artiodactyla; Suidae
Description: lncRNA (ENSSSCG00005016386.1)
Source: RNAcentral
UUUAAUUGAUUUAUUAUUUUUUCUUUUUUGGCAGCACUGUGUCAUGCAGAGGUUCCUGAGCCAGGGAUGAAACCUGUGCCACAGUUGUGACAACACAAGAUCCUUAGCUGCUAGGCUACCAGAGAACUCCCGCAUCUUAUUUUUUGUUUGUUAGUUUUUGUCUUUUUAGGGCCGCACUCUCGGCAUAUGGAGGUUCCCAGGCUAGGGGAGCAGCCCUAGAAAAGGCAAAAAGACAAAAAAAAAAAAAAAAAAAAAAGAAGAAAUUGAAUUUGUAGUUUUCCCAUUAAGAACUCCCCAGAGUUUCACUGGGGAACAUCUAUCAAAUAUCUAAGGAAGAAAUGACAUCAUUACACGAACAACUUCAGAUAACAGAAGUGAAGAGACUAAUUCACAACUCUGAGAGCAAGUGUUUGCCUGAUAUCAAAACAAGACGAGGGCGUCCUCUCACCACUUCUAACGAAAAUUGUACAAGACGCCCAAUAGCAGGGCAAUAAAGCAAGAAAAGAGAGCAAAGUCUAUGCAAACUGGAAAGGCAGAAAUAAAAUUCUUUAAUUGGCUACAUAGAAAAUGCUGACGAAUCUAGAGAAAAGCUAAUGGUAUCAAUGAAUCAAUUCAUCUAGGCUGCAGGAUACAAGGUCAAUUGCAAAAAAAAAUCAAAUGCAUCUCUACACACUGGCAAUGAAUCUGGAAAAGGGCCUUUAGAAAACCAAGACAGAGGGCUCUCUGGUGGCUCAACGGCUUAAGAACCUGGCGGUGUUACUGCCGUGGUGAAGGCUCAGUCCCUGGCCUAGAAGGUGCCACAUGCCACAGGUGCAGCCAAAAAACAAACAAACAAACAGGCAAAACAGAGACAGAACCCAAAAAGCAUAGCCAUAAAACUUUGGGUAAAUUGCAGCCCCGAAUUGAUAUAUCAUUAAGAAAACCAAAAGGUUAGGCCAAGGAUGAAAAGGAAGCGUUUAUAAUAAAUAGUCUGGGAGAAGACUGACAUGGAACAUCAAGGACUCUUGCAAGUAAAUGUUAAGGAAACAUCGCCCCCCUCCCGUGCAAACAUGUGCAAGAGACGCGAAGAGACACAUCACAAGAGGUGAUUCACACUCGAAAAGCUCUCAUCCUCCCCAGCAUCAUCGCUCGGCAGGCAGCACAAGCCAGAAGCAUAAAGAGCCAGCGUUAUGUCCCCCUGGCGUGGAUGAGACGUUGGCAGAGUGACAACAAGGGGAGGCGAGGGUGUGGACGGACCGACAGAACCCUGCAGGCAGGCGGGAACAAGGGCAAAGCCACGAAGGAGAGCUUCUGGAAAUCUCUCAAAAAGGCAACACUCACGUAUCUUAUCACCCGGGAACUACAUUCUACGCCUUCACCCACAAGAAACACAGAGGCAGGUCCAAAUGAGCAGGUUAACACAAAUGCUUAGAGCAGUUUUAUUCACAACAGCCCAAGCUGGAAACGCCAAUUUCCGCCCCCAGAGGCACGAGUAAGAGACGAUGUCUACGAGGGACCCACUCACAGCGAGGAGCUCCCGAGACAGGACGCCUCGCUGAGGCCUUACGACGCCGGAAGGAGCGGCAGCAGACACGCGGGGUUACACACCGUGCGACGCCCUCCGUGCGAAGCCCCAGGACAGGCGGAACCCCCGCCCCGACGGAAAGCGGCGACUCAGGGCCCAGGUGGGAUUCGCCGGGAAAGAGCACAAGGGAACUUUUUUGCGGGGACAGAAAUGAUGUUUUUCGCGGUUGUAACACAGGUACCUGGAUCUGUCAACAUUCUGCACACUUAAAAGAGGUGUUUGAGUGUUUGGAAGUUGGACCUCAACCAGACAUGUUUGGUUCACGUGGCCCGGCUCGCUCUGUCUCUAUAGCAUUUGCGAAUCUCCAGUAACGGGGAGUUUCCCAAGAGGGAGAACGCGUUCUUUUUCAGUAAUUUACCCCCUCAAGUCUUCUAGGGUUACUGGAGUCGAAGGACUCAAAACAUGCCCUCACGGGCAGGAUGCUGUUUUAUAACAUUUCAAAACUGAUCGUUGUUUUCUCGUUUCUCUUUUGGCUGCACCCUUGGCAUGCAGAAGCUCCUGGGCCAGGGAUCGAACUAGAGCCACAGCAGUGACAAGGCCACGUCCUUAACCUGCUGUGCCCCGAGGGAACUCCAGAACUGGUCAUUUUGAUUAACGGUCAGAUAAAAGAAGCCUGGAGGCGACAACCAACAGUCCUGCUGGACUGGCGCCCCCUGUAACACAGCUGGCCUGCUCCCAGCAGCCCUACCAAAGAGGGCCC